ACCACUGUGGUUCAGUGGUUAGACUACUGGGAGAGACCAGGGUUCAAAUCCCUGCACAGCCAUGAUG
Molecule: non-coding RNA, 67 nt
Organism: Podarcis lilfordi (Lilford's wall lizard)
Lineage: Eukaryota; Metazoa; Chordata; Lepidosauria; Squamata; Lacertidae
Source: the annotation of a GenBank genome assembly